Molecule: ribosomal RNA, 305 nt
Filed under: uncultured bacterium
Lineage: Bacteria
Description: bacterial SSU rRNA
Rfam family: Bacterial small subunit ribosomal RNA
Source: RNAcentral
UGUCCUACGGGAGGCAGCAGUGGGGAAUAUUGCACAAUGGGGGAAACCCUGAUGCAGCGACGCCGCGUGAGUGAAGAAGUAUUUCGGUAUGUAAAGCUCUAUCAGCAGGGAAGAAAAUGACGGUACCUGACUAAGAAGCCCCGGCUAACUACGUGCCAGCAGCCGCGGUAAUACGUAGGGGGCAAGCGUUAUCCGGAUUUACUGGGUGUAAAGGGAGCGUAGACGGCAUGGCAAGUCAGAUGUGAAAGCCCGGGGCUCAACCCCGGGACUGCUCUGGGAACUGUGCGGCUGGAGUGCGGGAGGGG